AGUGAACGCUGGCGGUAGGCCUAACACAUGCAAGUCGAACGGCAGCACAGUAAGAGCUUGCUCUUACGGGUGGCGAGUGGCGGACGGGUGAGGAAUACAUCGGCAUCUACUUUUUCGUGGGGGAUAACGUAGGGAAACUUACGCUAAUACCGCAUACGACCUACGGGUGAAAGCAGGGGAUCUUCGGACCUUGCGCGAUUGAAUGAGCCGAUGUCGGAUUAGCUAGUUGGCGGGGUAAAGGCCCACCAAGGCGACGAUCCGUAGCUGGUCUGAGAGGAUGAUCAGCCACACUGGAACUGAGACACGGUCCAGACUCCUACGGGAGGCAGCAGUGGGGAAUAUUGGACAAUGGGCGCAAGCCUGAUCCAGCCAUGCCGCGUGAGUGAAGAAGGCCUUCGGGUUGUAAAGCCCUUUUGUUGGGAAAGAAAAGCAGCAGGUUAAUACCCCGCUGUUCUGACGGUACCCAAAGAAUAAGCACCGGCUAACUUCGUG
RNAcentral lists this ribosomal RNA (492 nucleotides) under uncultured bacterium. Its description in RNAcentral is "partial 16S ribosomal RNA". It matches the Rfam family "Bacterial small subunit ribosomal RNA", at positions 29 to 507 of the family's 1533-position model. The record is from RNAcentral.